AAAUUGAAGAGUUUGAUCAUGGCUCAGAUUGAACGCUGGCGGCAGGCCUAACACAUGCAAGUCGAACGGUAACAGGAAGCAGCUUGCUGCUUUGCUGACGAGUGGCGGACGGGUGAGUAAUGUCUGGGAAACUGCCUGAUGGAGGGGGAUAACUACUGGAAACGGUGGCUAAUACCGCAUAACGUCGCAAGACCAAAGAGGGGGACCUUCGGGCCUCUUGCCAUCAGAUGUGCCCAGAUGGGAUUAGCUUGUUGGUGAGGUAACGGCUCACCAAGGCGACGAUCCCUAGCUGGUCUGAGAGGAUGACCAGCCACACUGGAACUGAGACACGGUCCAGACUCCUACGGGAGGCAGCAGUGGGGAAUAUUGCACAAUGGGCGCAAGCCUGAUGCAGCCAUGCCGCGUGUAUGAAGAAGGCCUUCGGGUUGUAAAGUACUUUCAGCGGGGAGGAAGGUGUUGCGGUUAAUAACCGCAGCAAUUGACGUUACCCGCAGAAGAAGCACCGGCUAACUCCGUGCCAGCAGCCGCGGUAAUACGGAGGGUGCAAGCGUUAAUCGGAAUUACUGGGCGUAAAGCGCACGCAGGCGGUCUGUCAAGUCGGAUGUGAAAUCCCCGGGCUCAACCUGGGAACUGCAUUCGAAACUGGCAGGCUUGAGUCUUGUAGAGGGGGGUAGAAUUCCAGGUGUAGCGGUGAAAUGCGUAGAGAUCUGGAGGAAUACCGGUGGCGAAGGCGGCCCCCUGGACAAAGACUGACGCUCAGGUGCGAAAGCGUGGGGAGCAAACAGGAUUAGAUACCCUGGUAGUCCACGCCGUAAACGAUGUCUACUUGGAGGUUGUGCCCUUGAGGCGUGGCUUCCGGAGCUAACGCGUUAAGUAGACCGCCUGGGGAGUACGGCCGCAAGGUUAAAACUCAAAUGAAUUGACGGGGGCCCGCACAAGCGGUGGAGCAUGUGGUUUAAUUCGAUGCAACGC
This 972-nucleotide ribosomal RNA is filed under the name Salmonella enterica. RNAcentral describes it as "bacterial SSU rRNA". It matches the Rfam family "Bacterial small subunit ribosomal RNA", at positions 1 to 962 of the family's 1533-position model. The record is from RNAcentral. Lineage: Bacteria; Pseudomonadati; Pseudomonadota; Gammaproteobacteria; Enterobacterales; Enterobacteriaceae.